This 245-nucleotide ribosomal RNA is filed under the name uncultured bacterium. RNAcentral describes it as "partial 16S ribosomal RNA". It matches the Rfam family "Bacterial small subunit ribosomal RNA", at positions 524 to 768 of the family's 1533-position model. The record is from RNAcentral.
GACGGGGGGAGCAAGCGUUGUUCGGAUUUACUGGGCGUAAAGGGCGUCUAGGCGGGCUUUCAAGUCGAAUGUGAAACCCCACGGCUCAACCGUGGAUCUGCAUUUGAUACUGUUAGUCUUGAGUACGGAAGAGGAAAGCGGAAUUCCAGGUGUAGCGGUGAAAUGCGUAGAUAUCUGGAAGAACACCGGUGGCGAAGGCGGCUUUCUGGUCCGAUACUGACGCUGAAGCGCGAAAGUGCGGGGAG